UCAUUUGUGUACAAGCAAAGCGGACAUUUUAGAAGUUUGAAGGUAAGGGAGAUUAGCGGACGACUUUCAUUAAAAAAAAAAUCCCUCACAAAUUUGACGUGUAAUUAUGCCGGUUUUUAUAAUUCAUCAAGGAUAAUUUAAUUCAAGACCCGGUCGACCUCGUUUUUGAACCAGUAAAGUUGAGGCAAAUAUUUGUGUAUCGAAUGCGGGCGAGAUCCUGCUAGCCAUUCAUUUUGCAAGUGUGUGCGUUGUUUUUUAGCUCGCUAAAGAGGGCCCUUUCAGCUCUCAGACGCCAAAUCUCUGUGUAUUUUUUUCAAUAGACGUAUGUCCCGUGAACGUACAAAUUAUAAUUUUUGUCUUUGUCAUCUUUUAUUAAGAUAGUUAGAUUAGAAGCCCUUUGGAAUAUUGCUGGGCCAGCUAGCUUGCUAGCUAACAAUCGACAACCCCGCGUGCGCCGUCAGCUUUGUGAACUUGAAUUAGCCAUUAGCUAGCUUGUUUACAUUACUUGCUCAUCUAACUUCGAGAUCAUGGCAGAGUUGUACAUUCGCGUGGGAGAGGAUGAAAACGAAGAGCCAAUGGAGAUCCCAUCUGAGGAUGAUGGUACUGUUUUGCUGUCAACAGUAGCAGCCCAGUUUCCCGGAGCGUGCGGCCUACGUUACAGGAAUCCUGCGUCUCAGUGCAUGCGAGGCGUCCGUCUAGUUGAGGGUAUCUUACAUGCACCUGAGAAUGACUGGGGUAGUCUGGUGUACGUCGUCAACUACCCAAAAGAUAACAAAAGGAAGAUGGAUGAAAUGGAUGCUGUCUCUGCUGUAAAAAUGAAGAGAGGUAUCGAGAGAACUUCAGACCUCAUUAUCCUUGGGUUGCCUUGGAAAACAUCUGAGCAAGAUUUGAAAGACUACUUUGCCACGUUUGGAGAAGUCAUCAUGGUGCAGGUCAAAAGAGAUGUCAAGACUGGGAACUCAAAGGGGUUUGGCUUUGUUCGGUUCACUGAGUAUGAGACUCAAUCCAAAGUGAUUUCUCAGCGGCACAUGAUUGAUGGAAGAUGGUGUGACUGCAAACUACCAAACUCUAAGGCAGGUCCUGAUGAGCCCAUGCGCAACUGUAAAAUCUUUGUUGGCCGCUGCACAGAGGACAUAACCACCGAUGAGCUCCGGCAGUUCUUCAUGCAGUAUGGCGAGGUCACCGACGUCUUCAUUCCCAAACCCUUCCGGGCGUUUGCCUUUGUCACGUUCUCAGACGACCAGGUUGCCUCAGCCCUGUGCGGAGAGGACCUGAUCAUCAAGGGCGUCAGCGUGCACAUCUCCAACGCCGAGCCUAAGCACAAUAAUAGUAGGCAAAUGAUGGAUCGUGGGGCUGGUGGGUUCGGGGGUCAGGGCUAUGGCGGUGGUCGUGGAGGGCUACCAAGCAGUGGCAGUAGCGGGGUGAAUUUUGGGGGCUUUAGCCUUAACCCAGCCAUGAUGGCUGCCGCUCUGCAAAGUAUGCUGGCUAACCAGCAGGGUCAGACCAAUGCGGCAGGCACCACCGCCGCCGGGCAGACCAGUGCCACCGGAGAUCAAAGCCAGGCCUAUGGUUCUAGCACCAGUUACAGCAGUCCCAGCUCAGCUAGUCUUGGGUGGGCUGCAGGCACUAACUCUGCCUCCAGCAGUGGGUUCAGCUCUGGCUUUGGCACCUCUAUGGAGUCAAAGUCAUCAGGUUGGGGAAUGUAGAGAGCUUUGAUUGAUAGUCUUUCUUCUAGAUUAAUCUGGUAAGUAUUUUGAGGGGCAAGAAAGAGUUAUAGUCAUAUCAUAUGUCCCUGCUAUUUAAAACUAUUGCCUUUUGUCGUUUUGUUAAAGAAGACAUUCAUUUUGUGUGUGUGUGUGUGGGUGACUAAUUCUGUAGGAAAUGAGUGCACAGAGUGGUUGAAGUGUAUAGUUUGUUAGUGGUAAACUGCUACACUACAUUUGUAGUUUUUUGUUUUUCUUGAGAAAAAGUUAUUUUGUAUAAGACAUCAGAUGAUGACUGCAUGCUAAGUAGAUAUUUCUGAGAUGCACAAGUAUCACGACACCGCCCCUCAACCACCUGUAUAUGGUUAAAUGGUCUUGAAUUGGGUUUGAUGUUUAAUCUCUGUAUGCAGUUGAUUGUAUCUUUUUUGUUUGCCGUUUUAUGGAAACGCCUUCAUGAAAAUCUCUUCAACAGUUAACCAACUGUUUUCGAAUUUCCCGGGAAGAAGCCCCUCGUUGGCAGCAAUGUUCGACUGAACUCAGUAUCGGUACCCCUCUUCCCAUGUGUAAAUGCUUUGCCAUCAAAAGACACAGCUUCACUCUGCAUAUACUGUGUUAGACGGGACCUUGGACACGGCUGGCCCAGGUUUACAUCUGAACCCCAGAGUGAAGUCAAUUUUCGGGAAGCUGAAGACUGGAGUUUGCACUGUUGGUUGGGGGCUGCCUUAUGCCUGAAAAGGGACUUCUUCACCUCACUAACAAGACCCCUUGGAUCACCCCCACUGAAAUUUAAAACAGACCAUUCUCAAUUGGGCAGAGGUAUUAGAUUUAUACCUUCAAACAAGUACAUUUUAAAAGCAAGUCCAACAUUGCAUUUAUUUAACAAAUUGCCUGCUAUUCAGUGACGAUCAUGUUUUUGUUUAGUCUUUUUUUAAAGAAAUGACCUUUAAAUAUUGCUUUUGAAAGAUUAAUUUUGUGUCGUUCAAUUAUGCUUUGUCCCAAUACAGCCAUUGGUUAUUGUAAAUGAAAAGAUUUAAGUUAAAGGCUUUUAUUUCAAGUAUUCCGUAGAUAUCUUUUUCAUGUGGUUCAAAAUGUACAAUUUCAGUCGGAUUUACUGGACAUUCAAAUUAUUUUAAGGCUGUAAAGGGGAGUGACUUGAGUCAGUUUUACAGGGUUUUAGAUAUUUGGAAAAUUGUUGAUUGAACUCGCCAGCAGAGGGGUAUACUACAGAGCAAGUUCAAUGAGUUAGCCAGCUAACUUGCCUAAAUAUUCUGAAAUAACUUUGGUCACAACAACCAAAAAUGCAUAUCUAAGUUUAGUUUUCUUAAAUAGAAAAACAAUAGUUAUUUCUGGUUCUUUAUCGAAGUUAGCUGGCUAACUAGUUUAACCUACUUUGUAGUAUACCCCUCAGGAAUCUAUCACUUGUGUACAGAUAUUGAACUCUUUAUUUUUAGUUCUCUGAAGUGUAAAAUAAAGUUUUAAAUUUGUAAUAA
Molecule: RNA transcript, 3193 nt
Organism: Coregonus clupeaformis (lake whitefish)
Lineage: Eukaryota; Metazoa; Chordata; Actinopteri; Salmoniformes; Salmonidae
Gene: tardbpa
Gene name: TAR DNA binding protein a
Exons: 6
Source: RefSeq, a predicted model, not a curated record